CAUGGGCAGUAGUAAACCUUUUACAAGGGUGUGAGUAAUAAAAAAUAUGAAAAUAAGAGAAUAGUUGUGUUGGAGUCGGAAGUCGAGUGUAAACUUACACUCAGAUGUAAGCCACACGUGUCUUCCUGUGAGUGGUCUCGAUUUUUUCCUUCUGUUCUAUGAGAGAGAGAGAGACGAAGGGAGACGAAGGAGACGAUGACGAGCAAAGACGAAUUUUCCCGAGAUCGAGCUGCGAUCCGAUGCGCAAGAGCUACGAUGCUCCUCUAUUCAUUGGCGUCAUCCCGCACAACCGACACCGCCGGCGAGGUUAGAUCCUUCUUCUUUCCUUCUUUCGAUUGGAAUCGAUUUUGCUACAAUUCGAUCUGUAACUCCGAAAUUGCCAUGCGAAAUCUCAUCUCUGAUGUUUGUUUGGAAGCAGAAGGAAUGACAGACGCAAAGAGAAAUAGAGGAUCUGAAGAGAAAGCUUGCCAUGGGGAAGAAAAAGAUGAAUCAGAUUAUUUUAUUAAUAAAAUCCCAUUAACACAUACCCAUCCACUUGCCCCACUGCUGAUGCUCUA
RNAcentral lists this long non-coding RNA (557 nucleotides) under Arabidopsis lyrata. RNAcentral's name for it is "long non-coding RNA (ALYR_LNC002919)". Lineage: Eukaryota; Viridiplantae; Streptophyta; Magnoliopsida; Brassicales; Brassicaceae. The record is from RNAcentral.